AUUCACCUCAUAGCUGGUUGGUGAAUAGCUUACAGCUCUUUAACAAAUACUUUUUGGGAAAAAUACUUCUGGAACCAAGGUGGCUAAGAAGUGGGUGAGUGGUAUUGCCAUCUCACCCCAACUUCCUGUUUCACAUAGAUCCACCUCUGGGGGCGAGUCUUUUCCCAGGUCUUUGUUGACGGGGGUCAAUAUGUGGGCCAUCGCUGUACCCUGAGAUUAAACGGAAAGUGAAAUGCUUUGAAGAAAAGGGCCAAAGGAUUUCACUUUUCCAUGCUUCUUUCACUUGAAGUUUGCCAGCGUUCUUCUGAGGGAAGCAACGUCGAGGUGAAAAAGCAAGUAUUCUUCAAUGAAUCCAUCCCUGAAUUCUGACAGUGCGACACGAAGUGUCCGACACCUUCAGUGAGAGAGAGGGAGAGAUGGUGUUUGCGUGUGUCAAGCGCUCAAAAAAACUAUUUAUUUCUCUGCCCAAAUGUUUACCCAGACAAUAAACAAUAGAAAAACAACUACGUGACUUGUCCUAGUGUUCGAGGAAAGAAAGGAUGCACUUGAAAAUAAUUAAUGCAGGAAAAAAUAGCGUUUUAAAAUACAUCUGAAUAAAAUAAAUGCACGUUUGUAGCUGAGGCGAGUUUGCCUCAAACUUUUAAUAUAAAUUGUAAUAGUUUAGAAAUCUACAACAUAUUG
Carassius carassius (crucian carp) is the source of this 681-nucleotide long non-coding RNA. RefSeq lists it as uncharacterized. The transcript has 3 exons. The record is from RefSeq and is a predicted model, not a curated record. Lineage: Eukaryota; Metazoa; Chordata; Actinopteri; Cypriniformes; Cyprinidae.